UACGGAGGGGGGCUAGCGUUGUUCGGAAUUACUGGGCGUAAAGCGCACGUAGGCGGCUUUGCAAGUUAGAGGUGAAAGCCCCGGGGGCUCAACUCCGGAAUUGCCUUUAAAACUGCAUCGCUAGAAUUGUGGAGAGGUAAGUGGAAUUCCGAGUGUAGAGGUGAAAUUCGUAGAUAUUCGGAAGAACACCAGUGGCGAAGGCGACUUACUGGACACAUAUUGACGCUGAGGUGCGAAAGCGUGGGGAGCAAACAGGG
RNAcentral lists this ribosomal RNA (257 nucleotides) under uncultured bacterium. RNAcentral's name for it is "partial 16S ribosomal RNA". It matches the Rfam family "Bacterial small subunit ribosomal RNA", at positions 524 to 777 of the family's 1533-position model. The record is from RNAcentral.